GACGAACGCUGGCGGCGUGCUUAACACAUGCAAGUCGAACGAUGAAGCCCAGCUUGCUGGGUGGAUUAGUGGCGAACGGGUGAGUAACACGUGGGCAACCUGCCCCAAACUCUGGGAUAACCCCUCGAAAGAGGAGCUAAUACCGGACACGGACUGGACAGACAUCUGUACCAGUUGGAAAGUUUUUCGGUUUGGGAUGGGCCCGCGGCCUAUCAGCUUGUUGGUGAGGUAACGGCUCACCAAGGCUACGACGGGUAACCGGCCUGAGAGGGCGACCGGUCACACUGGGACUGAGACACGGCCCAGACUCCUACGGGAGGCAGCAGUGGGGAAUAUUGCGCAAUGGGCGAAAGCCUGACGCAGCGACGCCGCGUGAGGGAUGAAGGUCUUCGGAUCGUAAACCUCUUUCAGUAGGGACGAAGCGAAAGUGACGGUACCUAAAGAAGAAGCACCGGCUAACUACGUGCCAGCAGCCGCCGUAA
RNAcentral lists this ribosomal RNA (482 nucleotides) under uncultured bacterium. RNAcentral's name for it is "partial 16S ribosomal RNA". It matches the Rfam family "Bacterial small subunit ribosomal RNA", at positions 28 to 523 of the family's 1533-position model. The record is from RNAcentral.